AAAUUGAAGAGUUUGAUCAUGGCUCAGAUUGAACGCUGGCGGCAGGCCUAACACAUGCAAGUCGAACGGUAACAGGAAGCAGCUUGCUGCUUUGCUGACGAGUGGCGGACGGGUGAGUAAUGUCUGGGAAACUGCCCGAUGGAGGGGGAUAACUACUGGAAACGGUAGCUAAUACCGCAUAACGUCGCAAGACCAAAGAGGGGGACCUUCGGGCCUCUUGCCAUCGGAUGUGCCCAGAUGGGAUUAGCUAGUAGGUGGGGUAACGGCUCACCUAGGCGACGAUCCCUAGCUGGUCUGAGAGGAUG
This 305-nucleotide ribosomal RNA is filed under the name Escherichia coli. Its description in RNAcentral is "partial 16S ribosomal RNA". It matches the Rfam family "Bacterial small subunit ribosomal RNA", at positions 1 to 302 of the family's 1533-position model. The record is from RNAcentral. Lineage: Bacteria; Pseudomonadati; Pseudomonadota; Gammaproteobacteria; Enterobacterales; Enterobacteriaceae.